UGUUGUGAACUCGAAGAGUAGGGCGGGACACGUGGUAUCCUGUCUGAAUAUGGGGGGACCAUCCUCCAAGGCUAAAUACUCCUGACUGACCGAUAGUGAACCAGUACCGUGAGGGAAAGGCGAAAAGAACCCCGGCGAGGGGAGUGAAAAAGAACCUGAAACCGUGUACGUACAAGCAGUGGGAGCACCUUCGGGUGUGACUGCGUACCUUUUGUAUAAUGGGUCAGCGACUUAUAUUCUGUAGCAAGGUUAACCGUAUAGGGGAGCCGAAGGGAAACCGAGUCUUAACUGGGCGUUAAGUUGCAGGGUAUAGACCCGAAACCCGGUGAUCUAGCCAUGGGCAGGUUGAAGGUUGGGUAACACUAACUGGAGGACCGAACCGACUAAUGUUGAAAAAUUAGCGGAUGACUUGUGGCUGGGGGUGAAAGGCCAAUCAAACCGGGAGAUAGCUGGUUCUCCCCGAAAGCUAUUUAGGUAGCGCCUCGUGAAUUCAUCUUCGGGGGUAGAGCACUGUUUCGGCUAGGGGGUCAUCCCGACUUACCAACCCGAUGCAAACUGCGAAUACCGAAGAAUGUUAUCACGGGAGACACACGGCGGGUGCUAACGUCCGUCGUGAAGAGGGAAACAACCCAGACCGCCAGCUAAGGUCCCAAAGUCAUGGUUAAGUGGGAAACGAUGUGGGAAGGCACAGACAGCCAGGAUGUUGGCUUAGAAGCAGCCAUCAUUUAAAGAAAGCGUAAUAGCUCACUGGUCGAGUCGGCCUGCGCGGAAGAUGUAACGGGGCUAAACCAUGCACCGAAGCUGCGGCAGCGACACUAUGUGUUGUUGGGUAGGGGAGCGUUCUGUAAGCCGUUGAAGGUGUCCUGUGAGGGAUGCUGGAGGUAUCAGAAGUGCGAAUGCUGACAUAAGUAACGAUAAUGCGGGUGAAAAACCCGCACGCCGGAAGACCAAGGGUUCCUGUCCAACGUUAAUCGGGGCAGGGUGAGUCGACCCCUAAGGCGAGGCCGAAAGGCGUAGUCGAUGGGAAACAGGUUAAUAUUCCUGUACUUGGUGUUACUGCGAAGGGGGGACGGAGAAGGCUAUGUUGGCCGGGCGACGGUUGUCCCGGUUUAAGCGUGUAGGUGUGUGUUCCAGGUAAAUCCGGUUCACUUUAACACUGAGGCGUGAUGACGAGGCACUACGGUGCUGAAGUGACAAAUGCCCUGCUUCCAGGAAAAGCCUCUAAGCAUCAGGUAACACGAAAUCGUACCCCAAACCGACACAGGUGGUCAGGUAGAGAAUACCAAGGCGCUUGAGAGAACUCGGGUGAAGGAACUAGGCAAAAUGGUGCCGUAACUUCGGGAGAAGGCACGCUGAUAUGUAGGUGAAG
RNAcentral lists this ribosomal RNA (1369 nucleotides) under Citrobacter sp. wls710. RNAcentral's name for it is "partial 23S ribosomal RNA". It matches the Rfam family "Bacterial large subunit ribosomal RNA", at positions 395 to 1767 of the family's 2925-position model. Lineage: Bacteria; Pseudomonadati; Pseudomonadota; Gammaproteobacteria; Enterobacterales; Enterobacteriaceae. The record is from RNAcentral.